RNAcentral lists this ribosomal RNA (46 nucleotides) under Boletus sp. TIB519. RNAcentral describes it as "partial 28S ribosomal RNA". Lineage: Eukaryota; Fungi; Basidiomycota; Agaricomycetes; Boletales; Boletaceae. The record is from RNAcentral.
UGACCUCAAAUCAGGUAGGACUACCCGCUGAAAUUUAAGCAUAUCA